GACGAACGCUGGCGGCGUGCUUAACACAUGCAAGUCGAACGGAAAGGCCCUGCUUGCAGGGUACUCGAGUGGCGAACGGGUGAGUAACACGUGGGUGAUCUGCCCUGCACUUCGGGAUAAGCCUGGGAAACUGGGUCUAAUACCGGAUAGGAGCCAUUUUUAGUGUGAUGGUUGGAAAGUUUUUUCGGUGUAGGAUGAGCUCGCGGCCUAUCAGCUUGUUGGUGGGGUAAUGGCCUACCAAGGCGGCGACGGGUAGCCGGCCUGAGAGGGUGGACGGCCGCAUUGGGACUGAGAUACGGCCCAGACUCCUACGGGAGGCAGCAGUGGGGAAUAUUGCACAAUGGGCGCAAGCCUGAUGCAGCGACGCCGCGUGGGGGAUGACGGCCUUCGGGUUGUAAACUCCUUUCGCUAGGGACGAAGCUUUUUGUGACGGUACCUAGAUAAGAAGCACCGGCUAACUACGUG
Molecule: ribosomal RNA, 465 nt
Filed under: uncultured bacterium
Lineage: Bacteria
Description: partial 16S ribosomal RNA
Rfam family: Bacterial small subunit ribosomal RNA
Source: RNAcentral